GAUGAACGCUGGCGGCGUGCCUAAUACAUGCAAGUCGAGCGGUCGGACGAGAAGCUUUCCUCUCGGGUGUUAACCGCGGGCGGGUUACUAACACGUGUGUAACCUACCGAGAAGACUGGGAGAACUUCGGGUAACCGUAGCUCAUACCGGAUAAUAUUUUGAACGGGAGGGUUUCAGAGUUCAAGCGGGUCUUGCUGUCACUUGUAGAUGGGUCCGCGCUGCGUUAGCAAGUUGGUAAGGUAAAGGCUUACCAAGGCAACGAUGCAUAGCCGACCUGAGAGGGUGAUCAGCCACACUGGAACUGAGACACGGCCCAGACUCCUACGGGAGGCAGCAGUAGGGAAUCUUCCACAAUGGGCGAAAGCCUGACGCAGCCAUGCCGCGUGAAUGAUGAAGGUCUUCGGAUUGUAAACCGCUGUUAUUCGGAACGAAAAUCUGCGCAAGAAACUGGGCACAUCUUGACGGUACCGAAUCAGAAAGCACCAGCUAACUACGUG
This 497-nucleotide ribosomal RNA is filed under the name uncultured bacterium. RNAcentral describes it as "partial 16S ribosomal RNA". It matches the Rfam family "Bacterial small subunit ribosomal RNA", at positions 28 to 507 of the family's 1533-position model. The record is from RNAcentral.